Molecule: long non-coding RNA, 727 nt
Filed under: Brassica rapa (field mustard)
Lineage: Eukaryota; Viridiplantae; Streptophyta; Magnoliopsida; Brassicales; Brassicaceae
Description: long non-coding RNA (BRAP_LNC006483)
Source: RNAcentral
CAGAGUUGAUCUCAUAGGUAUCUAGACUUCAUCAGUCCCACAGACAAACUCAUGAACCCUAUCCUCAUCAUGUUCUUGCUCAAAUGCCAGAUUGAGCACACAUGUGCAGGAUCCACACUUGCAUCUCUUUAAGGUCAGUCAAAGUCGUCCACAGCUUGUUCAAGAAGUACCCGAAGUGAGCUUCAAUAGACUGUCAUCUUUGUUGAGCAGUAGCAAUCUCUGUUUUGGUACCCUAGAUUUUUGAUCCAUUCUUCACAGAUAAUCGCUUUUGGAUAUGCUCCCAUAGGCUUCGAGCAACGUCAUGGUGUAAAAGAUUCAUACGAACAUUUGCAUCAAUCGUCAACUUCAUCCACGAACCACCAGGCGUCGUUGGUCCACCAAUCUUCCAAAUCUGGCCAUCUACGAAACCAAACUUCUUUCUAGCCAUAAGAGCCAGUCAGAGAUUCAUUUCCCACUCGUCAUUGUUCGAAACUCUGAGCAAAGACUGGGAUAUGACACUUCCCAGAUUGUCUUUAAACUCAGAUCACAAGGAGAUAUGGUUCUCCUUUGAACCCCACUUGUCUCCUUCGUCAUCCCUGCUGGAAUGAUUCCUCCAUCUUCAUUAGUUACUUCCGCCAUUUAUGAGUUAAAUAAAAAAUUAACGUAGAUAAAAGAAGAGCGAUGAUUGAACGUCAAACCAAAGAAUACAACGAACAAAAGGAAUGAUGAUCGGCACCGUCAAGAAGAG